GACGAACGCUGGCGGUGUGCUUAACACAUGCAAGUCGAGCGGAGCAGCGAACGGGUGAGUAACGCGUGAGUAACUGCCCCCCCCUCUGGGAUAACAGUUGGAAACGGCUGCGAAUACCGGAUAGUGGGGGAUGACUCGCGUCCUAUCAGUUUCUUGGUGGGGUAGUGGCGUACCAAGGAGACGACGGGUAGCCGGCCUGAGAGGGCGACCGGCCACAUUGGGCUGAGAUACGGCCGAAACUCCUACGGGAGGCAGCAGUGGGGAAUAUUGCACAAUGGGGGAAACCCUGAUGCAGCAACGCGCGUGCGGGAUGAAGUCCUUCGGGUUGUAAACCGCUUUCAGCCAUGACGCGGUAGUGUCAGAAGAAGCACCGGCUAACUACGUGCCAGCAGCCGCGGUAAUUC
This 404-nucleotide ribosomal RNA is filed under the name uncultured bacterium. RNAcentral describes it as "partial 16S ribosomal RNA". It matches the Rfam family "Bacterial small subunit ribosomal RNA", at positions 28 to 526 of the family's 1533-position model. The record is from RNAcentral.